Molecule: ribosomal RNA, 464 nt
Filed under: Vreelandella stevensii
Lineage: Bacteria; Pseudomonadati; Pseudomonadota; Gammaproteobacteria; Oceanospirillales; Halomonadaceae
Description: partial 16S ribosomal RNA
Rfam family: Bacterial small subunit ribosomal RNA
Source: RNAcentral
CCUACGGAGGCUGCAGUGGGGAAUAUUGGACAAUGGGCGAAAGCCUGAUCCAGCCAUGCCGCGUGUGUGAAGAAGGCCUUCGGGUUGUAAAGCACUUUCAGUGGGGAAGAAAGCCUUGGGGCUAAUACCCUCGAGGAAGGACAUCACCCACAGAAGAAGCACCGGCUAACUCCGUGCCAGCAGCCGCGGUAAUACGGAGGGUGCGAGCGUUAAUCGGAAUUACUGGGCGUAAAGCGCGCGUAGGCGGUCUGAUAAGCCGGUUGUGAAAGCCCCGGGCUCAACCUGGGAACGGCAUCCGGAACUGUCAGGCUAGAGUGCAGGAGAGGAAGGUAGAAUUCCCGGUGUAGCGGUGAAAUGCGUAGAGAUCGGGAGGAAUACCAGUGGCGAAGGCGGCCUUCUGGACUGACACUGACGCUGAGGUGCGGAAGCGUGGGUAGCAAACAGGAUUAGAUACCCCAGUAGUC